This 250-nucleotide ribosomal RNA is filed under the name uncultured prokaryote. Its description in RNAcentral is "partial 16S ribosomal RNA". It matches the Rfam family "Bacterial small subunit ribosomal RNA", at positions 524 to 773 of the family's 1533-position model. The record is from RNAcentral.
UACGGAGGAUGCGAGCGUUAUCCGGAUUUAUUGGGUUUAAAGGGUGCGUAGGCGGAGAGGUAAGUCAGCGGUGAAACUCAGGUGCUCAACACCUGCCGUGCCGUUGAUACUGCUUUUCUGGAAUGCGGAUGCUGUGGGAGGAAUGUGUGGUGUAGCGGUGAAAUGCAUAGAUAUCACACAGAACACCGAUUGCGAAGGCAUCUCACAAAUCCGUGAUUGACGCUGAGGCACGAAAGUGCGGGGAUCGAAC